GCGUUGGUGGUUCAGUGGUAGAAUACUCGCCUCCCACGCGGGUAGCCCAGGUUCGAUUCCCGGCCGACGCA
This 71-nucleotide transfer RNA is filed under the name Dermacentor andersoni. Its description in RNAcentral is "transfer RNA glycine (anticodon CCC)". It matches the Rfam family "tRNA". Rfam says of the family: Transfer RNA (tRNA) molecules are approximately 80 nucleotides in length. Their secondary structure includes four short double-helical elements and three loops (D, anti-codon, and T loops). Lineage: Eukaryota; Metazoa; Arthropoda; Arachnida; Ixodida; Ixodidae. The record is from RNAcentral.